RNAcentral lists this ribosomal RNA (495 nucleotides) under uncultured bacterium. RNAcentral's name for it is "partial 16S ribosomal RNA". It matches the Rfam family "Bacterial small subunit ribosomal RNA", at positions 29 to 507 of the family's 1533-position model. The record is from RNAcentral.
AUGAACGCUGGCGGCGUGCCUAAUACCUGCAAGUCGAGCGAACGGACGAGAAGCUUGCUUCUCUGAUGUUAGCGGCGGACGGGUGAGUAACACGUGGAUAACCUACCUAUAAGACUGGGAUAACUUCGGGAAACCGGAGCUAAUACCGGAUAAUAUUUUGAACCGCAUGGUUCAAAAGUGAAAGACGGUCUUGCUGUCACUUAUAGAUGGAUCCGCGCUGCAUUAGCUAGUUGGUAAGGUAACGGCUUACCAAGGCAACGAUGCAUAGCCGACCUGAGAGGGUGAUCGGCCACACUGGAACUGAGACACGGUCCAGACUCCUACGGGAGGCAGCAGUAGGGAAUCUUCCGCAAUGGGCGAAAGCCUGACGGAGCAACGCCGCGUGAGUGAUGAAGGUCUUCGGAUCGUAAAACUCUGUUAUUAGGGAAGAACAUAUGGUAAGUAACUGUGCACAUCUUGACGGUACCUAAUCAGAAAGCCACGGCUAACUACGUG